Molecule: transfer RNA, 74 nt
Filed under: Myotis lucifugus (little brown bat)
Lineage: Eukaryota; Metazoa; Chordata; Mammalia; Chiroptera; Vespertilionidae
Rfam family: tRNA
About the family: Transfer RNA (tRNA) molecules are approximately 80 nucleotides in length. Their secondary structure includes four short double-helical elements and three loops (D, anti-codon, and T loops).
Source: Rfam by way of RNAcentral
GGCCAGGUAGCUCAGGUGGUUGGAGCAUUGUCCCAUACACCAAAAGGUUCUGGGUUCGAUUCCCAGUCAGGGCA